This 441-nucleotide ribosomal RNA is filed under the name uncultured bacterium. RNAcentral's name for it is "partial 16S ribosomal RNA". It matches the Rfam family "Bacterial small subunit ribosomal RNA", at positions 338 to 795 of the family's 1533-position model. The record is from RNAcentral.
CCUACGGGUGGCAGCAGUAAGGGAUAUUGGUCAAUGGGGGAAACCCUGCACCAGCAACGCCGCGUGAGGGAAGACGGUUUUCGGAUUGUAAACCUCUGUCCUCUGUGAAGAUGAUGACGGUAGCAGAGGAGGAAGCUCCGGCUAACUACGUGCCAGCAGCCGCGGUAAUACGUAGGGAGCGAGCGUUGUCCGGAUUUAUUGGGUUUAAAGGGUGCGUAGGCUGUGAGGUAAGUCAGCGGUGAAAUGCCCCCGCUCAACGGGGGGAAGUGCCAUUGAUACUGCCUUGCUGGAAUGCGGAUGCCGUGGGAGGAAUGUGUGGUGUAGCGGUGAAAUGCAUAGAUAUCACACAGAACACCGAUUGCGAAGGCAUCUCACGAAUCCGCGAUUGACGCUGAUGCACGAAAGCGUGGGUAUCAAACAGGAUUAGAUACCCCGGUAGUC